This 333-nucleotide long non-coding RNA is filed under the name Rosa chinensis. Its description in RNAcentral is "sRNA RchiOBHm_Chr5g0022041". The record is from RNAcentral. Lineage: Eukaryota; Viridiplantae; Streptophyta; Magnoliopsida; Rosales; Rosaceae.
GUGCUUAAGUGAAUUACUGGUAAAUGUGUUUUGGUGCUUCGUGGUUAUGCUUCGUGGUUGUGCUUCGUGGUUGUUAAGCUUUGUGUCUUUGGUAUGCUGCGGCUUACCCGUACUUUGGGAAUAGUACGUCGGUCCCUAGUACGUGGAUUUAUGAUUUGAUACCAGUCAACCUGGUUUUCUCGUGUUUUGGGUAUAGUACGUCGGACCCUAACACGUGGAUUUGUGAUUUGUUACCAGUUAAUCCGAAAAUUCACUAAAAAGAGAAGUGUACUUAUAUUAUUUUGAUCAAAUAUCUAUCUAUGAUAUAUUUUGAAUAUGUGAAGGUGUUAGUAA